AAUGGCGGCAUACGUGAUAACAAUUAGAAAUCAAUAGAAAACGUUUCUCCAGUUGGCUACUCUCUGAUCAUAUCGUUAUAAAUACAGGCUCUCUGCGGUCAACAUAACACCAUAGUUUAAACGGGUAAAACGAAACAAAACAGAAUAAUGAAUAUUAAAUCUAAAACGAUGGCAAUAUUUUCAGUAGAUAUUAUGAUGUAAAACCGUUUUAAAAUAAUCUUUUGAUUAUAAACUUGACACGG
Molecule: non-coding RNA, 242 nt
Organism: Cinara cedri
Lineage: Eukaryota; Metazoa; Arthropoda; Insecta; Hemiptera; Aphididae
Source: the annotation of a GenBank genome assembly